CCCAAGGUUUGCGGGCCGGAGCGCGGGCGUCCUGCUAUCUCUAGGCUGGGGCGAUCCCACUCACCGGCCAGCCCCGGCGGCUCUCACCUAACCUCCGCAGCCCAGCGGGACCAUUCCCCCUGCCAUCCCGUGGCACGCGUUGUUGUGCUGCCAGCAUCGGCCCCACGGCUUCCAGAAAGUGGAAACUGCGAGAUGGGAGAAGCUUGAGUACUGUGCGGCCCAGAUUCCACGGGCACGGGGCCUCGGCGCGGCCGUGGGAACUCAGAGAUGCGGACUUCAUUUGAACAGUUGUUUCUCUGAGUCCUUCAAGAUUGCUGGUUUGGAGUCACUGGCGGCAUCUCUCUUUCUCCUGGAGGGAUCGGCAGAGAUGCUGCUGUGAAGCCUCAGCAGGCUCUCCAUGGUCCUGGAGCUGGGCAAUGAGCAGGUAGAACAGACUGCUGUCAGGCUGGGGCAGCCCUUCCUCUGGAAGGUUGUAGGCAGUCGCCGAGCACUCUUACAAUGCUGUCCUCCCCAAAACCAGGAUGGAUGCUUUUCAGAAACUCAGGGUCCGGAAAACAGGCAUCUUCUGGCCGGUCAUCGUUUCCCUGAGACAGGAUCAGAUGUGGACAGAAGUGAGGACUUCGACGCAGACCUUGCUUGGUGGAAAGCCCAUCUUUUCCUCAUAGCUGGGAAGCCACGGGCAAAUUACUUAAACUCUGUCGAUCUCCUCCCCAAACUCCUCCCUGUCUCCUGUCUUCUCAAUAAAAGGGGAAUUAAAAUACAGCCUCGAAGGAUUUGCAUGUGGAUUCAGUGAGUUAAUGGAUGAAAAAUGCUCAGCAUACUCUUUACUGGGAGCACAUGGUAAGUACUCAAUAACAUCAACUAUUAUAUAUUUUACAUAUAACAUAGUCUGAAUCCAGACACAUGCAUAUCUGUGUUUGGUUUUAUUUUUGUUUGUUUUAAUUGCUCUGGGGAGAUUCCCAGUACCCAGAUGGUGCUUAAGAAUCUUUGGCUAGAAAAUUGUUUCUCUGACCGGUUGAAUCUGCCGUCCUUCACCCCCUUGCCUGACUUCCUGCCAUCUCUGACUAAAAGUGCUUGCUCUCUCUGUGGCUUAAUUUAUAGGCAUGUUGGGGAAAGAUACAUUGAAGAAGAAAAAUACUUUAAGAUAAUGUGUUCUUAUCUUUUACUAGAAUUAGUAAGUGCAGAAGGAGCUAAGGUUUCUUGUCUAGUUUAUUUGCUCUAUCACUAGAUAUUACCUCUCCUGAGUUUGUUGUCCUCUUUUCUCCCAGUGCCUAGAUAUCUUAAUUCUCUAAGUGUAGGGCUGGCCAUAGAAUUGGGUUUGGUUGAUUCUUGCCAACUAGCUUCAGAUCCAAGGACUCCAGCUCUUGCACUUUUUUCUGGCACCAACUAGCUCUGUGACUUUGGGUAAGCCACUUACCUCUUGAGCCUCCAUUUCUUCCUCUGUGACAGGGGCUGGUAAUAUCUGUGGUAAAGACUUCAUUGAUGAUGUGGAAUCAACCAAGACAACACUUACAAAAAUCUUAUUUAAAGCCAGGUAUGGCAGUAUAUGCCUGUAGUCCCAGCAUUCGGAGAAACUGAGGCAGGGGGAAUGCAAAUUUAAGCCCAGCCUGGGCAAAUUAGCAAGAUCUUGUCUCCAAAAAAAAAAAAAAUGAUGAUGAAAAAAUUAUAAAGGAGCUCAAUGUAAAUACCCUGGGUUCAUCCCCAGCAUUGAAAAAAAAAUUUCUUUGAAAGUAUUGAUCGCUAUUUGGUGCUAAGGAAAUAGUCUUAUUAAAAUGAGCGAGGCUCUUGCUAGCUUCCACAGUAGGAGCCAUCACUGCUAUGGCAUGAGAAGAACAGGCUGAGUCCUUAACUCUCUGGACAGUCUACAGUUGUGGGCUGAUACUGAUCUCUAGGAAGCUGGAAAAAGCAGAGGCUUUGAAUCUAGUGCACUGGGCUCGGCCCCCUGUUGCACAGCAGCUGCCUGUCUUUCUGUCUGCCUGGACCUUUUAAAAAGAACUGUCCCAGAGGGCUCAGCAUACAUAAUUUUGAAAAUGAACGGUGGUUUGGCUGAAGGGCAAAUGCUCUUGCAAUGAGAAGUCAGCUGUAAGCAGAGAGCCCUGCAGGGACAGAAAAUGGAUUGGGCCAAGAUUCAGUUCUGUUUUCCAAAUUCCAGUGGUCCACUGGGUGGGGCAAGUUUGCUGUGACAGGUAGAAUUUUUGUUGACUAAACAGCAGCACUGUAAGAACUGGGGUGGUGUGUUGGUCCGCAUGGGGCCGCUGGGCUACUCUCUCAGUGUAUGGCUGCAGCAUUUCAGACAGGCGUGCCCCCUGGCCUGGCAGAGUGCAGCUGUGUCAAUGGGCCUUUGAAGUUCACAUACACCAGCUGACUGGUCAGCAGUCCCUGACAUCAUCAUCGUGACCUUUGUGACAGAAGUCCAGAAAGGCAUGCAGCAGCCAGCCUUGCUGCAAGGGCUGGGAGGGGAAACGAUGGGCCUUUGAUGAAAACCUGGGAGAAACUGACCCAGACUCACAGUAUGAAUCCAACUGCGCUGGUUGCUUGCCACUCUCUCGCCUGAUUGCUCCAGAUCAAUAUGGUGACCGGAUUUCUUUUAUUCUGACCCGAUAACCGCUUCAGUGAGACUUCAGCAUAGCGUCAGUCUGCUGGCGGUGCUGGCAGAGCCUUGAAAUCUAGGACUUGGGCCUGAGUCAUCACAACAUAGACAGACCACAUCCACCAGAACUUCAGUGCAAUAUUUAAAAAAAAUAUUAGUAGUCUAUAUUUUAGGUCCCUGCUUGUCUUUUUCCAAGAUUUCCCGCGAGCUCCCUGUGUGGCAGACACUGUGCAGGUGCUUGACUUCAGGGCUGGGCUGUCUCUCUGAUCUUCACAACAUCCCUGAGAGAUGGGAUGUUCUUAUCCCCGUUUUGCAGAGCUGGAAGUGGAAGUGUUGGUGAGGGAAGCUUGCUGAGGGCAUCGCAGCCAGCAGAGGAUACCUAGCCGUCUAUGCGCCAGCCUGUGCUCAGAACUCCUCUGCUGAGCCGCCUUCCCUCUGCGGAGACCCUUGUUGGAUCCCGUGCUGGAUAACUAGGGAUUGGGAUCUCUGAUUGACCAGCGCACCUUCUUUUCUUCCUGUGGCCCACGUCUAUACAGUCGUCUGCUCAUCUUUAUUCCUGGUCUGGCUAUCGACAUGGCCGCUGGGUCUUGUCAGUGGGUCCUAAUGUCUCCUUACGCCUGCCUGUUCACCCUCACCCUCAUUACCACACGUUUGGGCCAGUGCAGUGGUCUUUCAGCUCCUUUUGUCCUGGUGUUCCCUUUUCAUCUUGUCUACUCAACUCUGUCAGAUCCAUCUCUUGUUAAUGCUACUUUUGUCCUAGAGCAUGUGCUUUAAAACUUCCCGGGGACUCUGUGGCUCACAGGACAAAGUCAGAACUCAGGGCUCGACAUUAAGACACCUCCCCCUCAGACUGUCCUCCAAGUCCCUGUCCAGGCUGGCUCAUCACUUCCUGCAAGAAGUGAAGGUUGCCUCGGACCUUCUGGCUUCAGCAUCUUUGUUCAUGCAGCAUCUUCUGCUUCCCCACCCCUUUAAAUCUCAUUCCCCUGACACAGACCUCAUCAUGGCCCAGCUUCAGGGGCAUUUUCUCCAGCUGCCUUUCAAGAAUGAUCUGUCCUCAAGCAUUUUGUAAUCUCUGACCAGUACAUCUCACAGGUUGCUUCACUGUAAUUAUUUGUGAGCCAACAUGUUCUCCCAUAUCCCAGAGGGAAAGGACGCUUGUGUGUGUGUGUGUGUGUGUGUGUGUGUGUGUGUGUGUAUCCCCUGCUGUGGUCACCAGUGCAGUGCACUGAACUCAGUAGACCUUUACUUUUCCAAAUGUUUGAAGUAAUGAGCAGAAAAAAACAAAUAGCAAGAAACAAGGCACUUGGAGAGUGUUGACUAUGUGCCAGGUGGUGUUCUGUGUGCUGUCAUAAUCAUUCCUGUGAGCCUUGCAGCAAGCCUGAGAAGUAGGUGACAGAGAUGAGACCAGGGCACAGCUCGUUGCAUCAGCUUGUCAAAGAAUUAAUGAUGGAUCCAUGAACCCCAGCCAAGCAGUCUGCCUCUAGAAUCUAGGCUUACACCAAAACUGUCUUUCGAGUACUUUUAUCUUUGCCUAGGCGAUCCUGGCCAGUCAUAGGGACAUCCUCUUAUAAGAGCUACUUCGUGGAUUUCUAAAUUUAGCAAUGAACAUUGGGUAAUUUGGGAUACUGGGACAAAUG
Molecule: long non-coding RNA, 4227 nt
Filed under: Chinchilla lanigera (long-tailed chinchilla)
Lineage: Eukaryota; Metazoa; Chordata; Mammalia; Rodentia; Chinchillidae
Description: lncRNA (ENSCLAG00000028346.1)
Source: RNAcentral